GGGAGACCUUGAGAGAGGCAGCUGCUGAGAACUCACACAGACCCAUGAUCACACAGGACCGAGACACUAAUGAAUAGAAUGUACAUUUGUUCCUGCUGUGUGAUUGUCCAUCUGUCUGUGCCUGGACAACCACUCCAUCCCCACUGGAUGCAGUAAACAGCACCACUGCCCACUGGCAUUGUGAACCUGGUGUCCAUCACUGAGCUCUGCUGGGGAUAGUCUAUGUGGCAGCUGCUGUAGCUCUUGCUCAGAGUGCUGGAUCCCAGAGUAUUGCAGAAGCCCAAGUGGCCAGACCUAGAGCAAGAGCCCAAAAUCAGAACCCUGCAAGCUGGAGACCAGCAGGCAUUACCAUCUGGGGCUCCCGUAGGAGCUGGCGGUGCCAGGCCACGCUGUCCACUCGACUCUGCUGCUUGUUCCAGUGCAUGAGGAGGUGACCUUAACUUCCAGACAAUGUGGCCAGAUGAGGGAACACAGACUGCAUGGAGGACCUUGGAAGAGUUUGCGGGGCACAGCCCUGCUGGCACAAAGCCUGACACAGAAGGACACAGACACCCCUGCACGGUGAACAGUGACUGAUACUUGUCAUUUACAAGCCUCUUCUUCAGCUCAUCCCCAUGUUGAAAGCAAGAGCUGCUGAGGGCAGUGGAUGUAGGAGUCUCUUCUGGGAGCUGAACCUUUGCAGGAGGCUGGACUAGCAGGGAGAGAUGCAGAGAACUGUGGGCACAGGACAGGGUCCACCGAUUGCGAAAGCAAGAAUGGAAUGAGAAGUAUGAGCAAUGGAUCGAUAUACUAGUCGAACUGAAAUAAGAUAUUGUCAGAACUAUUUGUCCAAGGAAAAUCAGAUGUUCACAACAGAAGUUACAUUCUGAGCUAGAUUUAUCAGAGCCUCCAGCCAGGAUCACUGCACCAGGCCUAGAGAGCAGAGGGAAGAUUUGUGUCUCACUUUCCCAUGGGCCUGGAGCCCUGUGUAAGCCUCAGAGCCACUGUGAAAUCCACUGCCCCUGUGCAGACCCCGAGACAGACCCAUUCUCAGGCUGCAGCACAGCAACGUGCAAAAUCCUUGCACAGGCCGACGCAUCUUUAGAUCCCAAGAUGUGGCUGGGAGCCUCAGAGCCCUGUUUCUUACUUGAGUCCAAGUAGAAGUUCACGAGAUAUUAGAUAGGGUUCCCUGGAUUCUGCCAGAACCAGUCACCGAUUUCUUCUGAUGGAAUCACUGAUUCAUUGUGGUGAUUAUCCAAGGGUGUAUAAAUAUCUUAAAACACACAAAAUUGGGCACUUUAAAUAUCAGGGGUUUAUUUUGUUAAUUAUUCCUCAAUAAAAAGACACAUAAAAAAUAGGCUGAAACAGACCCGGCAUGGUGGCUCACGCCUGUAAUCCCAGCACUUUGGGAGGCCGAGGUGGGCGGAUCACUUAAGGUCAGGAGAUCGAGACAAUCCUGUGAAUGGUGAAACCCCAUCCCUACUAAAAAUACAAAAAAUUAGCCGGGCAUGGUGGCGGGCGCCUGUAGUCCCAG
This 1513-nucleotide long non-coding RNA is filed under the name Homo sapiens (human). Its description in RNAcentral is "HSALNT0275683". The record is from RNAcentral. Lineage: Eukaryota; Metazoa; Chordata; Mammalia; Primates; Hominidae.